This is a long non-coding RNA of Malaclemys terrapin pileata, 4810 nucleotides long. RefSeq lists it as uncharacterized. NCBI's taxonomy places the organism in Eukaryota, Metazoa, Chordata, Testudines, Emydidae. The record is from RefSeq and is a predicted model, not a curated record. The transcript is spliced from 3 exons.
AGUAUGAAGAAGAGAGGCAGUGGUUCAAAAAAAAAAAUGAAGCUGAAAGCGGGCAGCCUGGUGUGUGUGCAUUGUCUGAGGCUCAGGAACAGAGGAGCAACUAAAAUAAACCUGAAAAGCUCUCACUAGACUUCUGAUCUUGCCUGCUACAGUGCAUGAAUUUCCAUAUCCCUUGCAGCUUUAAUCUGGAGCCUUUAGAAGACAAGUUUGCUUUCCAACUGGGACUCAAAAUGACUAGAGAUUCUAAGCAAAGUAGCAUGUCUCUAGCUGCUUGGGAGAACUGCAUCCUCCCAGUUCCCUGGGUGCAGGUCCCUAUAAACCAUGAGGAAACUGGUGUUCAAUGCAAGCGAUUGCCCAGCUGCCUAUCGAAACCUGCACAAGAUUCAGGAUCUGUGUGAGUACGUCAACUUUACCUGCCUUACUCUUCAAAUUGUGGAACCUCUGUGAAGCGCAGUGGAUGGCAUCACUUCUGUAGGACUCAGGUUAUCAGGGAACCAAUUCAGAUGGCCCGGGUGUCCAAGGUUCUUGCAUGUUCAUUUGAUUUUUAGGAGACUGUGAUGGGCUAUACCUGGUCCCUUGUGGCCCUCUGCUGGAGGACCUGUGGUCCUGCUACACUCCACCCCAGGAAAGAGCCGCAGAGGUGGGUCCUCUAGGCCCGCCUAAAAAGGCUGCAUGGAAGCAACCAGUCAGUGCCCAGCAGGCUCAGAAAAAAGGAUCUGCAAGGGCUUGAGGUCAGUUCCCAGCUGGGGCCGGAGAGGUGCGGGGGAUACUCCUCUCUGGCCUAACAAGCUCAGCAGGCUGCAUUUACUGGCCCAGUGGGGGGAGAGGACCUGAGAAUUUUAACCCUAAAGUAAUGGGUAAAGGUAAAGGGAACAGGUGGGAAGAGGCCCGGGAAUGGAACAGUAACUAAUUAAAAAAAGCAGUGCUGAGACUGGGCCCCAGAGUAGUGGGCAGAUCCUGGUUCCCCCACUGGUGAAGUGGCCUAAGCCCUGACAUUGCACCCAUAUGUUUUAUGAAAAUAUUCUAAUGAGUGUGAAUAUGAUGUAACUGGAAUAUGCUUCAUACAAAAGGUCUCUUGUAAGGUAUCAUUACAAAGCUUAUGAUCUACUGAGUGUGCUUAUCCUAUUUGUUUGCAUGUAUUAUUGUUAUGUCUGGAGUUGGGAGAAUAAGAUAUAAACUUGUAUUAUUGAUGUAGAUAUGUUAAGUGGAAGCCAUUAAGGGUGCUUCAAAAUCAACGAACUGUGAAUGAGCUUGUUUACCUGUAAGCCUUGCUAUGUGCCUGUCUUCCAGCUAGUAGGUAAUGAAGAAGGAGGUCUUACAGUGACAUGUGAUCAUGUCACCUGAACUGGAAUCCAUCUUAAACCUGGUGCUUUUCUAUUUAGAAGGAGUGGGGACCCAGAUAGACUAAAGAUUUCCACCUUUUGCCAAAGCUAUAAAAGGGGGUGGAACAGAACAAAGGGGGCCACCAGUCAUGAGAAAACGCCUAGUUACCACCCAAGCUGGAACUAACAAGGGCUGUACCAGGGAAAGGCUUGAGCCCAGACUAAGGGCUGGUCCACACUAACCCCUCACUUUGAACUAAGAUAUGCAACUUCAGCUACGUUAUUCAUGUAGCUGAAGUCGAACUAUCUUAGUUCGAACUUACCGCGGGUCCACAUGCGGCAGGCAGGCUCCCCCAUCGACUCCGCGUACUCCUCUUGCGGAGCAGGAGUACCGGCGUUGACGGUGAACACUUCCGGGAUCAAUCCGGGAUCAAUUUAUCGCGUCUAGACAAGACACAAUAAAUCGAUCCCAGAAGAUCGAUUGCUACCGCCGGACCUGGAGGUAAGUAUAGACAGACCCUAAGAAGGAGUCUAGUGAAAGAAGCUUACUGGAACAUCUCUGAGGGUGAGAUUUACCUCUAUUCAGUUUCUUAAAUGUAUUAGGCUUAGACUUGCGUGUUCUGUUUUAUUUUGCUUAGUAACUUACUUUGUUCUGUAUGUUACUACUUGAAACCACUUAAAUCCUACUUUUUAUACUUUAUUAUUGAACCCAGAGUAAGUGAUUAAUACCUGGGGGAGCAAACAGCUGUGCAUAUCUCUCUAUCAGUGUUAUAGAGGGAGGACCAUUUAUGAGUUUACCCUGUAUAAGCUUUAUACAGAGUAAACUGGAUUUAUUUGGAAUUUGGAUCCCAUUGGGAGCUGAGUGUCUGGGUGCUGGAGACAGGAGUACUUGCUGAGCUGUUUUCAGUUAAGUCUGCAGUUUUGGGGACGUGGUUCAGACCCUGGGUCUGUGUUGCACCAGGCUAGCAUGUCUGGCUCAACAAGACAGGGUUCUGGAGUCCCAAGCCAUCAGAGAAAACGGGCUCAGAAGUAGUUUCAGCACAUCAAGUGACAGUCCCAAGGUGGUCUCUGUGACCGAACCAGUCACAGGGGCAAGGAUCCUUUAGAAGCCCAAGUGAAGGGCUGGAUUUAAAAGAGCCCAGAGACAGGGCUGAAGACCCUGUUGAGAGAAGACAGUUUGGUGAACUCUUUGCUGUCCCUGAAGGGGAUCAUUUUUGACUGUGUGACUUGGUCGGAGAGCUGAGCUGUUUAAGACAUGUCUUGCAAGGUUAGCAAACUUCCAGGAGCUGGGAAAAGGUUACAGUACCACACUCAACCCCUAGAAGGCACUUAACAGUUGAGUGCCCCAUCACAAGGGCAAAUCUACCUUUUCUGCAUGAGGGUGGGUGUUGCACUCCAUCCCAGCCCCUGCUUCCAAUGUAAGACUCAGAGGGAAAACUCCACUAGCAAACCUUGUGGAAUUUCUUCUCUCUUACACUAGCAGCUUGCAAGCACCACUUCCACUGUUGUUAACACUGGUACUACUCCAUCAGUGUUAACAUGGAUGGAACCCCUAGUUUAAAGAUGGGCUGCUGGCUGGCACCUGCAUCUGAGGUUCUGUGUUGAUUAGUCCUGUUCUGGGCAGGGUUAGAUGACGAUGUGCUUUGUAUGCUGAGGGAGGUGGUACUCUCUCUUCUCUCCAUCUCUCAUCCCUCUUCCAAGCCAGCCCUACAUGGAUCAAUGAUAGAUAGAAAUUAUACUAUCUUCUUGUUGUAUUCUUAGAAUGUUGAAUAAUUUGGUGUAAUCAAAGACAACAGAGAAGAAAAAGGUACACUUUUAAAAAACAGUGCUAAGAAUUAAGAGCUAGAUAUGCCACUAGUUUAAAAUGGCAUGUCUUUAUUGAACUUGAAACAUCCAACAACUCCCUGUGCACUAUGUGAAAAUGCUCCCAUUAUACAAUGUGUCAAAUGCGAACAGCACCAAUAUGUGAUGUAUAACUAACACUAUGGCAUGUGUAUAACAUUCACAGGAAACCAGUUCUUCAUAUAUGGGGAAAAUAACUCUUCCUCCUGCAGACCUUGCUGGACCAAGCAGUUGGAGGAUAAGCUGCCAUCUAAUGCCUCCUAAAGAUUCUUCAAGAGGAGCAGAGAGGACCACUCUACUCUUGGAAGAACUAGGAGAGGAAAAGCCACCUGUCUCAUAAGCUCAUCUAUUGUAAGAUAGCUUUCCUUCCCUAUAGGAAUCCCCGUGUAAUGGUGCCUCAAUCUCCUGGUCGGAGGGAGGCCACUCAGGCCCAUCCUGUCGGGUCGGGGCCGGAGUCUGUCCGACCGGCAAGAGCCUCCCAAUAGGGCUGUGCGAUUAACAGUCCCUACCAGGCUUUAGCCUGGGCUUAAGUAGCUCCAGUAGGCAGCCCUGAAACACAGUCUAUCAGGGCUGACUUUGGCCUGGGCGGGGCUCAGGCAGCCAGCAAACAAACAGUCUUUAAAGGUAAGUGAUAAGGGAGCUCCUGUCCUGGGCUAGAGCCUCCUUGCACCGUGUAGGGGGUCAGCCACCAAGGGUGGGGUGUCAGGGGGAUGUGGGCCAACCCUACUCCACCGCAUCCCAGCCCAGGGCCCUGGCAGGGGCAGGAUUGGCUGCCCCUAUGUUGGCGGGGAUCCAGCCACAACACGCCGACUGAGCCACGCCGGGCUCUGCAGCCGGCUGCUCUGUGGCUGCCCCUGGGCUACUUCCUGCCUCCCCGGGGUUUGUUUCCUGCAACCUCCAGGCCUCUUCUGGCUCUUCAGGGUAAACCACAGCAGAUACUUUGGAUCAGUUGUCAUCCACGUCUGGGGAUCGGGAACAGCCAGGCUCAGGUUCCUGUCGAGGCCUCUGGAGAACCGGCCGAGCGUCCUUCUCCGGAGCAGGCUCUCGCCCAACUGAGCUGCAGGGCUGGCCUUUUAUACCUCCAGCCCCGUCCUGGUCCUUCCGGCGAGGGGGGCGGGGCGAUCUAGGCCCCACCCUCCAAGGAGCGUGUAAUAGUGCCUCAGUCUCCUGCUCGGAGGGAGGCCACUCAGCCUCACUACACCCACUAUGUGAAAACAUCAGCCCAAGUCCAAAAAAAUUGUUGAUUUAGGCUGAUAGAUGCAGGCUGUAAAACACAAAUGUGCGUGUACCAUAGGGGUGGAUUCUGGCUCUUUGCAAAAUCCUCUGCCCCCUAUUCACUUCUGUGAUGAAUUAAACCAGUGGCAAACGUUAAUUAUACCUCUCUGGCAGACUGGCAACCAAAGCACAGAUAUAGCUCCUUGGAUUUUAAGGCCAGAAAGGAUCACUGUGAUCCUAUAGUCUGUCUUCUUGCAUAAUACAGGACAUAGAAUUUCACUCAGUAAAUCUUCAAUCAAACACAAUAAUGUGAGAGAACUGAAGAAUAUAUUUUUUAAUCAGACAUGCAACUCUGAUUUAAAGAUUUCACAUGAUAGAGAAUUCAUCAAAUCUCUUGGUAAAGUUGUUCCAAUGAUAAAUUACUAAGAAUA